UAAAGCGUGUGCCAUGAAUUGCCAGUAUCGGCAGCGCCUCACGGGUACUGGCUUGACUGCGUCUCAGCCCUGCAAACCAAGUGCC
This 85-nucleotide transfer RNA is filed under the name Shewanella putrefaciens. RNAcentral's name for it is "tRNA-Leu". Lineage: Bacteria; Pseudomonadati; Pseudomonadota; Gammaproteobacteria; Alteromonadales; Shewanellaceae. The record is from RNAcentral.